UACGUAGGUGGCAAGCGUUGUCCGGAUUUACUGGGCGUAAAGGGCGUGCAGGCGGUCUGUUAAGUUCAGGGUGAAAGCUCCCGGCUCAACUGGGAGGGGUCCUUGGAUACUGGCAGACUUGAGGGAGGUAGAGGAGAGUGGAAUUCCCGGUGUAGUGGUGAUAUGCGUAGAUAUCGGGAGGAACACCAGUGGCGAAGGCGGCUCUCUGGGCCUUUCCUGACGCUGAGACGCGAAAGCGUGGGGAGCGAACCGG
RNAcentral lists this ribosomal RNA (253 nucleotides) under uncultured bacterium. RNAcentral describes it as "partial 16S ribosomal RNA". It matches the Rfam family "Bacterial small subunit ribosomal RNA", at positions 524 to 776 of the family's 1533-position model. The record is from RNAcentral.